Molecule: transfer RNA, 69 nt
Filed under: Diplorchis sp.
Lineage: Eukaryota; Metazoa; Platyhelminthes; Monogenea; Polystomatidea; Polystomatidae
Description: tRNA-Asp
Source: RNAcentral
AUAUAUCUAGUUUAUUUUGAAUAUAAGCUUGUCAAGUUUAUGGUGUCUUUGAAGGGGGGACGAUAUGUG